GUGUUUGUGUACUCACUCUGGUCAUAGUCAUAUAGACAUUUGGGGAGUGGGAGUGAACGUGUCGAGUUAAGAAGUAGUUGGUUUACAUGAUUAUGUUGUUGGAAACCCCACUCUUAUUGCGAGUUUCCAACAACUAAUUACUAAGCUCCAUUAUACUCUCUUGGUGUGGAUCAAUACUUCCUUGUACAUCGAUGCGGGGCGCAACAAGAUCUUAUUGUGACUGUGGAAUGUGAUUCAAUUUUGUGAUGAUUUCAAAUGCUGUGCUGUCUUUGGAUAUGUAAAGUAAUAAUAAUACUGAAGUCUGGAGGAUUAUUAACCAAGAUUGACAUCCUGUGACCUUAAAAUGGGGGAGAGGUCUCAGGUACCAUGCAUCGUGAUUGAAGACGAUGAUGAUGUUAUUUUAGUGGAAGAUGAGAAUGAAAAACCAUCGUCCUCAACUUACUCUGGAGGAAUGCCACGACCAAAAAAGACUGAUUAUGAGUUGGAAAUGGAUCUACUUCAAACUUUACUGGACACUGGGGAAAGAGUUCCUAUAAAAUACAAAUUAUUUUUUCGAGCGUGUUGAUGCAACCCCCACAGCACGUGUCAAUAACCAAUUCAAAGAGCUCUCCCUAACCACAUCACUCACAGGACGGACGGUCGCCCACUGGCCACUGACAGAGAUGGCAGCCUACCCCUUCAGCGAGCCCCACCACUUGCUUUUAGGUGGUGUGAGAUCAAGUGCUAUAAAAUUCUGGCAUGAUUCUGUAGGUGCCGUGUGACUCUUAGGCAUUUCUUUAGGUGCUGUGGGACUAGGUACUAUGACAUUAGGUGCUAUGGAAAUCAACCUUAUUAGACGGUUGAAUUUUAGGUGCUGUGACACGAAUACAUCUUUAGGGGCUGUGAACCCCACGAUUGAUAUAUAUAUAUAUAUAUAAGUUUAUAAAAACCCGUAGUUUGAGAGUUUAUUUUACAAAUUUGAAAAACAAAUUAUAUAAAUAGUAUAUAUAGUUUAAAAGUUUAUGAUCGUACUAUAGAAAAUAUUUAAGGAAGGUGAAUUGUCUA
RNAcentral lists this unclassified non-coding RNA (1044 nucleotides) under Homalodisca vitripennis (glassy-winged sharpshooter). RNAcentral describes it as "uncharacterized LOC124369597, transcript variant X3". Lineage: Eukaryota; Metazoa; Arthropoda; Insecta; Hemiptera; Cicadellidae. The record is from RNAcentral.